RNAcentral lists this ribosomal RNA (385 nucleotides) under uncultured bacterium. RNAcentral's name for it is "bacterial SSU rRNA". It matches the Rfam family "Bacterial small subunit ribosomal RNA", at positions 28 to 407 of the family's 1533-position model. The record is from RNAcentral.
GACGAACGCUGGCGGCGUGCUUAACACAUGCAAGUCGAGCGGUAAGGCCCUUUCGGGGGUACGACGAGCGGCGAACGGGUGAGUAACACGUGGGUGACCUGCCCUCCAGCUCUGGGAGUAAGCCUGGGAAACCGGGGUCUAAUACCGGAUAUGACUCCAUGACGCAUGUUGUGGGGUGGGAAAGCCUUGUGCGGCUGAGGAUGGGCCCGGCGGCCUAUCAGCUUGUUGGUGGGGUGAUGGCCUACCAAGGCGACGACGGGUAGCCGGCCCUGAGAGGGCGACCGGCCGACACUGGGACUGAGACACGGCCCAGACUCCUACGGGAGGCAGCAGUGGGGAUCUUGCGCAAUGGGCGAAAGCCUGACGCAGCGACGCCGCGUGAGGG